GNAUAGCUAGUGAAGCAAUAGCAGAAUUCAGUGAAUCAUCGAUUCUUUGAACGCACAUUGCGCCCCUUGGUAUCCCGAGGGGCAUGCCUGUUCGAGCGUCAUU
This 103-nucleotide ribosomal RNA is filed under the name uncultured fungus. Its description in RNAcentral is "partial 5.8S ribosomal RNA". It matches the Rfam family "5.8S ribosomal RNA", at positions 56 to 154 of the family's 154-position model. Rfam says of the family: 5.8S ribosomal RNA (5.8S rRNA) is a component of the large subunit of the eukaryotic ribosome. Lineage: Eukaryota; Fungi. The record is from RNAcentral.